RNAcentral lists this ribosomal RNA (600 nucleotides) under Streptomyces sp. YIM C506. RNAcentral's name for it is "bacterial SSU rRNA". It matches the Rfam family "Bacterial small subunit ribosomal RNA", at positions 28 to 645 of the family's 1533-position model. Lineage: Bacteria; Bacillati; Actinomycetota; Actinomycetes; Kitasatosporales; Streptomycetaceae. The record is from RNAcentral.
GACGAACGCUGGCGGCGUGCUUAACACAUGCAAGUCGAACGAUGAAGCCUUUCGGGGUGGAUUAGUGGCGAACGGGUGAGUAACACGUGGGCAAUCUGCCCUUCACUCUGGGACAAGCCCUGGAAACGGGGUCUAAUACCGGAUAACACUCUGUCCCGCAUGGGACGGGGUUAAAAGCUCCGGCGGUGAAGGAUGAGCCCGCGGCCUAUCAGCUUGUUGGUGGGGUAAUGGCCUACCAAGGCGACGACGGGUAGCCGGCCUGAGAGGGCGACCGGCCACACUGGGACUGAGACACGGCCCAGACUCCUACGGGAGGCAGCAGUGGGGAAUAUUGCACAAUGGGCGAAAGCCUGAUGCAGCGACGCCGCGUGAGGGAUGACGGCCUUCGGGUUGUAAACCUCUUUCAGCAGGGAAGAAGCGAAAGUGACGGUACCUGCAGAAGAAGCGCCGGCUAACUACGUGCCAGCAGCCGCGGUAAUACGUAGGGCGCAAGCGUUGUCCGGAAUUAUUGGGCGUAAAGAGCUCGUAGGCGGCUUGUCACGUCGGAUGUGAAAGCCCGGGGCUUAACCCCGGGUCUGCAUUCGAUACGGGCUAGCUAGA